RNAcentral lists this ribosomal RNA (497 nucleotides) under uncultured bacterium. Its description in RNAcentral is "partial 16S ribosomal RNA". It matches the Rfam family "Bacterial small subunit ribosomal RNA", at positions 28 to 507 of the family's 1533-position model. The record is from RNAcentral.
GAUGAACGCUGGCGGCGUGCCUAAUACAUGCAAGUCGAGCGAACGGACGAGAAGCUUGCUCUUCUGAGGUUAGCGGCGGACGGGUGAGUAACACGUGGAUAACCUACCUAUAAGACUGGGAUAACUUCGGGAAACCGGAGCUAAUACCGGAUAAUAUAUUGAACCGCAUGGUUCAAUAGAGAAAGACGGUUUUGCUGUCACUUAUAGAUGGAUCCGCGCCGCAUUAGCUAGUUGGUAAGGUAACGGCUUACCAAGGCAACGAUGCGUAGCCGACCUGAGAGGGUGAUCGGCCACACUGGAACUGAGACACGGUCCAGACUCCUACGGGAGGCAGCAGUAGGGAAUCUUCCGCAAUGGGCGAAAGCCUGACGGAGCAACGCCGCGUGAGUGAUGAAGGUCUUCGGAUCGUAAAACUCUGUUAUUAGGGAAGAACAAAAGUGUAAGUAACUGUGCACGUCUUGACGGUACCUAAUCAGAAAGCCACGGCUAACUACGUG